RNAcentral lists this ribosomal RNA (378 nucleotides) under uncultured bacterium. Its description in RNAcentral is "bacterial SSU rRNA". It matches the Rfam family "Bacterial small subunit ribosomal RNA", at positions 521 to 896 of the family's 1533-position model. The record is from RNAcentral.
UAAUACGGGGGGAGCAAGCGUUGUUCGGAUUUACUGGGCGUAAAGGGCGCGUAGGCGGCGUAACAAGUCACUUGUGAAAUCUCCGGGCUUAACCCGGAGCGGCCAAGUGAUACUGUUGUGCUAGAGUGCGGAAGGGGCUACUGGAAUUCUCGGUGUAGCGGUGAAAUGCGUAGAUAUCGAGAGGAACACCUGCGGCGAAGGCGGGUAGCUGGGCCGACACUGACGCUGAGGCGCGAAAGCCAGGGGAGCGAACGGGAUUAGAUACCCCGGUAGUCCUGGCCUUAAACGAUGGAUACUUGGUGUCCGAGGUUACAUAGUCCUCGGGUGCCGGCGCUAACGCAUUAAGUAUCCCGCCUGGGGAGUACGGUCGCAAGACUG